Molecule: ribosomal RNA, 497 nt
Filed under: uncultured bacterium
Lineage: Bacteria
Description: partial 16S ribosomal RNA
Rfam family: Bacterial small subunit ribosomal RNA
Source: RNAcentral
GAUGAACGCUGGCGGCGUGCCUAAUAUAUGCAAGUCGAGCGAACAGACGAGGAGCUUGCUCCUCUGACGUUAGCGGCGGACGGGUGAGUAACACGUGGAUAACCUACCUAUAAGACUGGGAUAACUUCGGGAAACCGGAGCUAAUACCGGAUAAUAUAUUGAACCGCAUGGUUCAAUAGUGAAAGACGGUUUUGCUGUCACUUAUAGAUGGAUCCGCGCCGCAUUAGCUAGUUGGUAAGGUAACGGCUUACCAAGGCGACGAUGCGUAGCCGACCUGAGAGGGUGAUCGGCCACACUGGAACUAGGACACGGUCCAGACUCCUACGGGAGGCAGCAGUAGGGAAUCUUCCGCAAUGGGCGAAAGCCUGACGGAGCAACGCCGCGUGAGUGAUGAAGGUCUUCGGAUCGUAAAACUCUGUUAUUAGGGAAGAACAAAUGUGUAAGUAACUAUGCACGUCUUGACGGUACCUAAUCAGAAAGCCACGGCUAACUACGUG